GAGUUCUCGUUGAUGAUCGGUGCUUGCACCGAGAUUCAACAUAGAACGAGUGGCGGACGGGUGAGUAACACGUGGGUAACCUGCCCUUAAGUGGGGGAUAACAUUUGGAAACAGAUGCUAAUACCGCAUAGAUCCAAGAACCGCAUGGUUCUUGGCUGAAAGAUGGCGUAAGCUAUCGCUUUUGGAUGGACCCGCGGCGUAUUAGCUAGUUGGUGAGGUAAUGGCUCACCAAGGCGAUGAUACGUAGCCGAACUGAGAGGUUGAUCGGCCACAUUGGGACUGAGACACGGCCCAAACUCCUACGGGAGGCAGCAGUAGGGAAUCUUCCACAAUGGACGCAAGUCUGAUGGAGCAACGCCGCGUGAGUGAAGAAGGCUUUCGGGUCGUAAAACUCUGUUGUUGGAGAAGAAUGGUCGGCAGAGUAACUGUUGUCGGCGUGACGGUAUCCAACCAGAAAGCCACGGCUAACUACGUGCCAGCAGCCGCGGUAAUACGUAGGUGGCAAGCGUUAUCCGGAUUUAUUGGGCGUAAAGCGAGCGCAGGCGGUUUUUUAAGUCUGAUGUGAAAGCCCUCGGCUUAACCGAGGAAGCGCAUCGGAAACUGGGAAACUUGAGUGCAGAAGAGGACAGUGGAACUCCAUGUGUAGCGGUGAAAUGCGUAGAUAUAUGGAAGAACACCAGUGGCGAAGGCGGCUGUCUGGUCUGUAACUGACGCUGAGGCUCGAAAGCAUGGGUAGCGAACAGGAUUAGAUACCCUGGUAGUCCAUGCCGUAAACGAUGAAUGCUAGGUGUUGGAGGGUUUCCGCCCUUCA
RNAcentral lists this ribosomal RNA (811 nucleotides) under uncultured bacterium. RNAcentral describes it as "bacterial SSU rRNA". It matches the Rfam family "Bacterial small subunit ribosomal RNA", at positions 59 to 842 of the family's 1533-position model. The record is from RNAcentral.